This 66-nucleotide transfer RNA is filed under the name Saurogobio immaculatus. Its description in RNAcentral is "tRNA-Cys". It matches the Rfam family "tRNA". Rfam says of the family: Transfer RNA (tRNA) molecules are approximately 80 nucleotides in length. Their secondary structure includes four short double-helical elements and three loops (D, anti-codon, and T loops). The record is from RNAcentral. Lineage: Eukaryota; Metazoa; Chordata; Actinopteri; Cypriniformes; Gobionidae.
AGUCCUGUGGUGUAAACAUAUUGAAUUGCAAAUUCAAAGACGCAGAAUAAUAUCCUGCCGGGGCUU